UGGGGAAUAUUGCACAAUGGGCGCAAGCCUGAUGCAGCCAUGCCGCGUGUAUGAAGAAGGCCUUCGGGUUGUAAAGUACUUUCAGCGGGGAGGAAGGGAGUAAAGUUAAUACCUUUGCUCAUUGACGUUACCCGCAGAAGAAGCACCGGCUAACUCCGUGCCAGCAGCCGCGGUAAUACGGAGGGUGCAAGCGUUAAUCGGAAUUACUGGGCGUAAAGCGCACGCAGGCGGUUUGUUAAGUCAGAUGUGAAAUCCCCGGGCUCAACCUGGGAACUGCAUCUGAUACUGGCAAGCUUGAGUCUCGUAGAGGGGGGUAGAAUUCCAGGUGUAGCGGUGAAAUGCGUAGAGAUCUGGAGCAAUACCGGUGGCGAAGGCGGCCCCCUGGACGAAGACUGACGCUCAGGUGCGAAAGCGUGGGGAGCAAACAGG
This 429-nucleotide ribosomal RNA is filed under the name Chloroflexota bacterium. RNAcentral's name for it is "Chloroflexi bacterium partial 16S ribosomal RNA". It matches the Rfam family "Bacterial small subunit ribosomal RNA", at positions 355 to 776 of the family's 1533-position model. Lineage: Bacteria; Bacillati; Chloroflexota. The record is from RNAcentral.